GAUGAAGAACGUAGCGAAAUGCGAUAAGUAGUGUGAAUUGCAGAAUUCAGUGAAUCAUCGAAUCUUUGAACGCACAUUGCGCCCCUUGGUAUUCCAAAGGGCAUGCCUGUUCGAGCGUCAUUUGUACCCUCAAGCUUUGCUUGGUGUUGGGCGUCUUGUCUCUAGCUUUGCUGGAGACUCGCCUUAAAGUAAUUGGCAGCCGGCCUACUGGUUUCGGAGCGCAGCACAAGUCGCACUCUCUAUCAGCAAAGGUCUAGCAUCCAUUAAGCCUUUUUUUCAACUUUUGACCUCGGAUCAGGUAGGGAUACCCGCUGAACUUAAGCAUAUCAUAAGCGGAGGA
This 340-nucleotide unclassified non-coding RNA is filed under the name soil metagenome. RNAcentral's name for it is "partial contains 5.8S ribosomal RNA, internal transcribed spacer 2, and large subunit ribosomal RNA". The stretch from base 1 to 120 matches the Rfam family "5.8S ribosomal RNA", at positions 35 to 154 of the family's 154-position model. The record is from RNAcentral.